This 465-nucleotide ribosomal RNA is filed under the name uncultured Klebsiella sp. Its description in RNAcentral is "bacterial SSU rRNA". It matches the Rfam family "Bacterial small subunit ribosomal RNA", at positions 338 to 795 of the family's 1533-position model. Lineage: Bacteria; Pseudomonadati; Pseudomonadota; Gammaproteobacteria; Enterobacterales; Enterobacteriaceae. The record is from RNAcentral.
CCUACGGGAGGCAGCAGUGGGGAAUAUUGCACAAUGGGCGCAAGCCUGAUGCAGCCAUGCCGCGUGUGUGAAGAAGGCCUUCGGGUUGUAAAGCACUUUCAGCGGGGAGGAAGGCGGUGAGGUUAAUAACCUCAUCGAUUGACGUUACCCGCAGAAGAAGCACCGGCUAACUCCGUGCCAGCAGCCGCGGUAAUACGGAGGGUGCAAGCGUUAAUCGGAAUUACUGGGCGUAAAGCGCACGCAGGCGGUCUGUCAAGUCGGAUGUGAAAUCCCCGGGCUCAACCUGGGAACUGCAUUCGAAACUGGCAGGCUAGAGUCUUGUAGAGGCGGGUAGAAUUCCAGGUGUAGCGGUGAAAUGCGUAGAGAUCUGGAGGAAUACCGGUGGCGAAGGCGGCCCCCUGGACAAAGACUGACGCUCAGGUGCGAAAGCGUGGGGAGCAAACAGGAUUAGAUACCCCAGUAGUC